CCUCCCCUACUAAGAACGUUAUCUCUUUACACAGUGCAGAAGGCUUCUUGAAAAGUUUUUGUGCAACAAACAGCGUAAAAAAAUGCCUGUCAUAUGGCUGAGGAAUGGACAGAGCCCCCUCCUCCUCCCCCCGAAUGGAUUUUGAGAUGUCCUUGCAGGCAAUGACACAUCAGCAACAUUUUGAGAAAAUGCAGGUGGACAGUUUUGCGGAAACUGCAGCCAACUGGAUCUGAUACUUGGAAGUGAGAGUCUCCCACCUCAAUCACCGGUGAAGCAAAAUGUCCAAAUCCGUGACAGUAAUGUGAUUUAUCAAAAUGUUGCCCCUGUAUAUCAUCAUCCCAACCCAUAAAAAGAUUUACACAAACAGAUUUCACAACCUCCCGUUUUCACCCCCACAACCUUCGUUUUACACCGACUGGUAGAAAAAUGUAGGCGACUGAACACUGCCCUUCAAGUAAUCAAACAUCAAGUAAUAUGAAACCGGGAAUGGUUUGGCGAGGAGAGAGAGAGAGAGAGCAACAACUACAACUCACUUAACAGACUCACAGGCCAAAAGAAAACAUGAAAAAAAGAGGAACCAUUUGAUCAAGGAAAGUCACUGGGUCAACGAGAGCUAAAUGCCAGCCAAGUAGAGUCACUGAGGGUUCCUUCCACCGUCCAAAACUGUAGCUCGCGGGGGGAGGCUGCUUCUCCUGGCUGAGUGUUCGCCGCUUUGCUGGUUCACAUUCGGGAAGGGUUUUGUUUUUUAUUUUCCCGCUCUGGGGGUUUCCUUGUUGUUUUUGGGGUUCCAGAUUAUUUCCUCCAGUGUUUUUCCUAAUUCUUCCAGUGUGUGUGCCUGUCUACCCAAAGACCGAGAGCCCUUGCCAAAGGAAAGAUGUCGAUAGCUGAGAUGAGGAUGGGAGGGCGAGAGGAUGAGAGUGCACAGAGACAACAAUGCUGACUACGCUCUCUAAGCUGAAAUUCAGUAGCACAACAACCAAAGAAAGACUUGAAAGCUCACAGCUGGUGUCACGUUCGAUAAAGCGCAUGAGGAGGUGAAGUGAUGGGGUGAUGUUAGAAAGUGUUCUGGUUAAAGCAGCGUAUUCUCUGCUCAGAAAACAUUGGAAAACGAUUUUAAGAGUGCAGAGAGGGAGGAAGGAAAGGACAAGCAACAGCAGAGUUAAAACGGAGCACAAAUCAGGAGCAGUGUAAUUAUAGUUCUAUUAGAUAAUGGAUUAUCGGGGCUGUUAGUAUUUAGCUAUGAUGAGCUAAUAAAAUUAAUAAUAAAAUUAACAGCUUCCUCAUAAAAUGAAACAGAUGCCACAGAUGGCAUUUCGUUUGACCUAGUUUUGCAGUAACAUGUCCAUUAUGCAUUAGGAUUUGUUAGGAAUUCAUGUGUGAGUUUAAAUGAGGAGUUAAAUAUUUAGAUGAAUAGGUCUGCACAAGGAAUUUUACUGAGCAUUUCUACAGAGCAAACAUUUUCUUUGCAACCCUGUCUCCUAGACACUACAUUUACAUACUUACUUGCACCAGAAUUUACAAUUUGUAGAAAAUGUACUGCACCAUGAAUCCCAUUUUCUAUCAACAAAAGCUCAAUCACAACCUGUUUCAUUUGUUUUCUGCCCGAACAGCCUGUGCUGUAUUACCAUGCCUGUCUGUAGUACCUACAGCAUUAACAAAUGUUUUCAUUGCUAAGUUCAGAGAAAAAAUAUGGUCUGCUUUAAUACAGAAAAAGUCUGCAGUGACUUGGGACAGAUGGUGUUCACUAGUAUUUAACCAAAACCACAAUUUAUCACAAAUGUUAAUACAAUAAGGCUCCUUUAUAACUAAACUGCAUUCAAAGACAUUUAGAGGAAAAUGUAUUUUCUACCAGAUAAUGUUUGUCUGUAAAGGUGUGACAAAUGCAGGUCUAAUCAGCAUAUAUCAGACUAUUUUAAUUGCUUUACUGUCACUCCUUUUAUGUAAACCGAUCAUAUAUUAGAUGGGACGGGACCCGUCACCCUGGUUCCCAAAAACUGGAGGAGAAGCUUUAAUAUGUUGUGAAAGGGUCAUAUUUUAUUCUUAAAUCUAACUAAGCUUCAAACAUUUGUUUAAUGAAUGUUGCAAUUCUAACCCAAUGCAUGAUACAUUUGUAAAUCUAACAACAUUUUUAGGUGUCUAAACCCAACCAAUUAGUGAGUGAAAAUAAAGAUAAACACAAACUGAGAAUUAAACUUAAGAGCAGCAAAAAACCUCACCUUGCCUCUGAACAAAGUGCAAGCAAUAGUUAAACUUGACAACAGAACAUAUUUGGGAAUCCUAUUUCUAGGAGACAGGAUUGACUCUCUGACGUAAAGUAAAAUUCAAAGUUGUUUCCACUUAAACAUGGAUUUCCAAAACAAAUCUAGCCUGUCUCUCGCUUCAGCAAAGAAACUGAAUCACAGUAUCUUCUGAUCUUAGUGAGAAUGUUCUGGCAGCGUGUAAUCUUUCAGAGCUUGUACAAUUCACACACCAACUAAAUACCCAACUGAUCACUCAAAAAACUCAUCAUAUUUAUCAGAAACAUUGAAACUUUACCAGUAAAGUGGUAAAGUGUCAAGCAAAGUAAAUGUUCUGAUCCAGAACUAGAAUAGUAGUGGAUGUGUCUGGUAAUUGAACAUAGGCGCACUUGAAAUUUAAUUUAAAAAACACCAUGUAUUACAAAAAGCUAAUUUUCUACUUGAGUGUUAAGUAACUAUGCAAGAUUUCAUGUUGCAUGUUGGUUCUCCAAAGCAGCAAAUACUGACCCAGUUCAUUGUUACUGGGAUAACCACGAAACUCCACUGGAAAACACAUACGCACUUAGUACCUGUAUUGCAAUUACUGAAUAAUUCAACAUAUGUACAUUAACACACGCAGCCAAUAAACGACUCCAACAUUUUCAGCAUGAGAGCUCAAAUUGAUCCUUAUAACUGUAGCCAGUUGUUUAUGGGUCUGACCAGCAGUAAAACCAUGAUGAUGCUGACAUUAUGGUGCCUAAAUGAUCCCUGUAAAUAUGGAGCAGCAGUGCGGCAGGUGUCUAGAAAGCAUACGGUCACAGCAGGCCCUCACUACCACUAUGAUUACUACCCCAUACAGUAAAUGACCAAAUCCCUCUGCUGGACUUUCUCCUUUAGUGUAGUGUAGACGGCUGCUGUCGAGGUGGAUCAGCCAGUCUGCCUUCACACUGUAGCCAUAAUAACUUUCCUACAAUGCCACGCUCAGGCACCUCAAUAAAUAAGCAAUUUAUUCUGCUAACUGCAAACCCUCAGCAUGGAACUCCAUUAGACCUGAAGCAGACAUGGACAUGAAGGAGUGCAGAGCUGACUCAGCUGAGGGUUCCAUCUAGCACUGGUCUUGUGAUUUAUUUUAUCUUAAAUUCGCCAACAUGUCUGACCUGUAGCAUCUUUCUGGUAACCUUACAUCACUACCUUUGUCUCUCCUUGAAACGCAGGAGUUAGGAAAUAUGAUCUUGUAAGUAUCAUAACAAUUCAUGUGCAGCACAGAUGGGGGACAUAUUAAAGCAAAGCCUAAAUGCUUGACUUCUGAGGGGAUCCAGUUGGUCUGUUAUUCUAAAGGGAGAGAUUUUCUGGAAUGGUUUGGGUCCACUUGCCCCCAAGAGGAAAGGGUCACUGCAAAUCAAUACGAAUUUGUUUGAGUGAUCCCCUACGACGAAACAUUUCUACCCUGAUGGGAGUGGUCUCUUUCAGGGUGUCUAUUCUCCCAUCCAUAGGGCACGAGGGGUCACUGAGUGGUUUGAUGAAAAUGAAAAUGAGGUGAAUCAUAUGGUAUGACCUUUAACAGUCAUCAGAUCUCAAGUCAAAUGAACAUCUGAGGGAGAUUUUGGACCAAUGUGUUAGACUCUCCACCAACAUCAUCAAAACACCAAAUGAGGGAAUAUCUUUUGGAAGAAUGGAGUUUAACCUUCCAGUAGAGUCCUAGAGACUCCAGAGAAGGAGGAGCUGAAGCUGUUCUGGAGACACAUAGUGGUCCAACAUCUUGCUAAGACACUCAGUUUUUUCCUGUUUUUGCUACUGUCUGUAUGGCAACCCUAAAUCCUGCCUAAAAACCAAACACUGCAUGACGCUACCAAACCAGUCAACCAUGCUGAGAUGAGUCAUAGUCUUCCCCACGGUGUAAUGCAUGUUAUUUUGCCUCAUCUCUACGGGGUCAAAACGAAGGGCGAUGACCUCCCCCUUUAGCUCAUACCUCCUACGUCUGACAGACAAGGGAGAUUACGGUGCUGCAGAGGACUAGAAUUUACCUGUCUAGCAUGCAACUUGUCACAUACAGUAAAUACAAAUCGCCCACGGUGCAUCAUAAGCUGAGAGAAGCCAGUGCCAUCUUUCUGGGGGACGUGAGAGGAGUGAGUCUCAAAAUACCGCAACACAACAUUGGCAGAAAUCCGGCAAAAUAAAUGACCCACCAUUCAUCUUCCAAGCACAAACCUGCUCGCAUAUGGUGUAAUAUAAAUCCUGGCAGUCGUGCCCUGCCUACCUUUGUCUUCGUCUGUUUUUACUGUCUCUCUCUUCUUCCCUUGUGGUUAUCCGAGCCCCCACACUGAACAAACCUUUCCGAGAGAGCCAGAGCCAUGAAUAAUAACUAUCAUUAAUCAAGAGUGGUUGCUUGAAUACAUAAUCUGAGACUAGACUGAACCCAUGUAGGAAGACUUUAAAGUUUGCAUUAGAUACUUUUUUGCAUGUUAUUCCGUCAAAUCAGGAGGCACCAAGCAACAGCACAUCUGAAAUGGAACACUACAGAUUCGUUAACCUAAGAAUGGAAGACAGGUGUUGGACAUAUCAUCUCAACAAUGAAGAAAAAUGCUUUAUGCCAAAUAUAAUGAAUUAUAUGUGUGCUUAACUUUGACAGAAUGCCCUUUAAACAACUACAUGAUGGGCAGAAUAUAAGAGCUGUUAAUUGGUCAUAACUACUUGUAACAGCUAUUAUGUUAUUCUGUCAUAACGGCCUCUAGUGAUUCACUAUCCAACACAGUAUGAGCAAUUACUGCAGUAUUCACUGGGCAUUAAUUCCAUCUGAUUCAAUGGGCUGGAAGCAUGUCUGAGGCAAGCCAAUGGAAGAUCACCUCUUCACGCUGGUUCACACGUUUCCUCUCUAUCCAGCUUUCAAAUCAAAUCACCGCCCGACUCAGUCAGCCUUGGCUUAUUACUCAUCUGCUCAUACAAAUCAAGGCCACUCGCAACCGCAAUAAACCUCCAGUGACAGCAGAAAGGGAUUUCUCUACAAAAUGUGAGCUCUGUUUCUACAUCAUCCCAUCCAGAAAACACAGAACUGCAUGGUAAAAAAUGACGAAUAAAGGUGCUGAAGUCAUUGUGCUAAAAAACACCAAAACCAGGCCGGUGAAUGAUGUUUACAGGGUUGCUCAAGUUCAAAUACUGUUGUGUUGGGCAGCAGCUAAAAGAUCAUAUAUUUGAGUUAUGUCGCACCAAAGGAAAAGUGAUCGAUGGGGAGCUGUGCUGGUCCAAAAUAUAGCAAGCACAGAUGAAAACUCACACUUGACAGUUGUCUGUAUCUAUCAAUAAUUGUGCCAGUGUUUCAGUGAGUCAAUGAAGGAACAUAAUAUACAUUUGUUCAACUUUGUCUUGCUGU
Molecule: long non-coding RNA, 5583 nt
Organism: Amphiprion ocellaris (clown anemonefish)
Lineage: Eukaryota; Metazoa; Chordata; Actinopteri; Pomacentridae
Source: Ensembl